Molecule: ribosomal RNA, 226 nt
Filed under: uncultured bacterium
Lineage: Bacteria
Description: partial 16S ribosomal RNA
Rfam family: Bacterial small subunit ribosomal RNA
Source: RNAcentral
GCGUUGUCCGGAAUUAUUGGGCGUAAAGAGCGAGCAGGCGGUUUAGCAAGUCAGACGUGAAAUUCUCCGGCUUAACCGGAGCGGGUCGUCUGAAACUGCUAAACUAGAGUGCAGGAGAGGAAAGCGGAAUUCCCGGUGUAGUGGUGAAAUGCGUAGAUAUCGGAAGGAACACCUGUGUCGAAAGCGACUCACUGGACAAUAACUGACGCUGAUGCACGAAAGCUAG